AGGGACCGGUUCCCGAACGUUGUCUACGCGAGCUUGCUCUCGGGGACCGGUCCCAGGAGGGAGGGACCGGUUGCCCCGAGGCUGAGGGCUGUGGCAAGCGCGAGGCAACCGGUCCCUAGGCCAGAGGGACCGGUUCCCGAACACGUGAGAUUGAGGAGGUCCCUCUGGGACCGGUCCCAGGCAGGGAGAGACCGGUCCCCGAGCGUGAAAUUUGCCCAGGCAGGCUGGGUCAUGUUGGAGAGGUUGGAGAGCUUGAGGAUAAUGCUCU
RNAcentral lists this long non-coding RNA (268 nucleotides) under Ananas comosus (pineapple). Its description in RNAcentral is "long non-coding RNA (ACOM_LNC013472)". The record is from RNAcentral. Lineage: Eukaryota; Viridiplantae; Streptophyta; Magnoliopsida; Poales; Bromeliaceae.